UACGGGGGGGGCAAGCGUUGUUCGGAAUUACUGGGCGUAAAGCGUGCGUAGACGGUCAAGUAAGUCGGGUGUGAAAGCCCCGGGCUCAACCUGGGAAUUGCAUUCGAGACUGCGUGGCUAGGGUGCGGAAGAGGGAAGCGGAAUUUCCGGUGUAGCGGUGAAAUGCGUAGAUAUCGGAAGGAACACCAGUGGCGAAAGCGGCUUCCUGGUCCAGCACCGACGUUCAGGCACGAAAGCGUGGGGAGCAAACAGG
Molecule: ribosomal RNA, 253 nt
Filed under: uncultured bacterium
Lineage: Bacteria
Description: partial 16S ribosomal RNA
Rfam family: Bacterial small subunit ribosomal RNA
Source: RNAcentral